CCUACGGGAGGCAGCAGUAGGGAAUAUUGCUCAAUGGGGGAAACCCUGAAGCAGCAACGCCGCGUGGAGGAUGAAGGUUUUCGGAUUGUAAACUCCUUUUGUUAGAGAAGAUAAUGACGGUAUCUAACGAAUAAGCACCGGCUAACUCCGUGCCAGCAGCCGCGGUAAUACGGAGGGUGCAAGCGUUACUCGGAAUCACUGGGCGGAAAGAGCGCGUAGGCGGGAUAGCAAGUCAGAUGUGAAAUCCUAUGGCUUAACCAUAGAACUGCAUUUGAGACUGUCAUUCUAGAGUAUGGGAGAGGUAGGUGGAAUUCUUGGUGUAGGGGUAAAAUCCGUAGAGAUCAAGAGGAAUACUCAUUGCGAAGGCGACCUGCUAGAACAUAACUGACGCUGAUGCGCGAAAGCGUGGGGAGCAAACAGGAUUAGAUACCCGGGUAGUC
Molecule: ribosomal RNA, 440 nt
Filed under: uncultured bacterium
Lineage: Bacteria
Description: partial 16S ribosomal RNA
Rfam family: Bacterial small subunit ribosomal RNA
Source: RNAcentral